RNAcentral lists this unclassified non-coding RNA (322 nucleotides) under uncultured fungus. Its description in RNAcentral is "partial contains 5.8S ribosomal RNA and internal transcribed spacer 2". The stretch from base 1 to 133 matches the Rfam family "5.8S ribosomal RNA", at positions 22 to 154 of the family's 154-position model. The record is from RNAcentral. Lineage: Eukaryota; Fungi.
UGGCUCUGGCAUCGAUGAAGAACGCAGCAAAAUGCGAUAAGUAGUGUGAAUUGCAGAAUUCAGUGAAUCAUCGAAUCUUUGAACGCACAUUGCGCCCUUUGGCAUUCCUUAGGGCAUGCCUGUUCGAGCGUCAUUUACACCCUCAAGCACAGCUUGGUGUUGGGCGUCUGUCCGGCUCUCUUGCCGGGCUCGCCUCGAAACGAUUGGCAGCCCCUCCGGCAGCUCCGGCGCAGCAGAAUUGCGUCCCGGGCGGCUCGGUGGGCGCUCUCCAGCAAGCCUUCUCAAGACUUUUGACCUCGGAUCAGGUAGGGAUACCCGCUGA